This 66-nucleotide transfer RNA is filed under the name Lasioglossum minutissimum. RNAcentral's name for it is "tRNA-Leu". The record is from RNAcentral. Lineage: Eukaryota; Metazoa; Arthropoda; Insecta; Hymenoptera; Halictidae.
UUUAAUAUGGCAGAAACAGUGCAAUGAGUUUAAGCCUCAUAUAUAAAAUUUAGAUUUUUAUUAAAA